This 200-nucleotide unclassified non-coding RNA is filed under the name Hevea brasiliensis (rubber tree). The record is from RNAcentral. Lineage: Eukaryota; Viridiplantae; Streptophyta; Magnoliopsida; Malpighiales; Euphorbiaceae.
UACACAUUUCCAUCAUAGCGACCAAGAACUGAGCCAAGGUAGUGAUCAGUGUAGUUAAAUGCAUCAACAAGUGCAAUGGCAUUUGGACGGACCUGGGAAUAUAAAGAUCUGAGCUGAUCAUUUGCAAGUGAAGAUUGCUUGGGUGUGAUGCAUCCGGUGGAUAGAAAAUCACCCAGAUGUUUGUGAAGGAGGUUCAAAGC